RNAcentral lists this ribosomal RNA (253 nucleotides) under uncultured bacterium. Its description in RNAcentral is "partial 16S ribosomal RNA". It matches the Rfam family "Bacterial small subunit ribosomal RNA", at positions 524 to 776 of the family's 1533-position model. The record is from RNAcentral.
UACGAGAGGCCCAAACGUUAUUCGGAAUUACUGGGCUUAAAGAGUUCGUAGGCGGCGCAGAAAGUAGGGUGUGAAAGCCCUCGGCUCAACCGAGGAAUUGCGCUCUAAACUACUGUGCUCGAGGAAUCUAGAGGUGAGCGGAACUAAUGGUGGAGCGGUGAAAUGCGUUGAUAUCAUCAGGAACACCGGAGGCGAAGGCGGCUCACUGGGGAUUUUCUGACGCUGAGGAACGAAAGCCAGGGGAGCGAACGGG